GAUGCUAGCCCCAACUUCGUGACACGACUCUUUCCUCUCCUUGGUGCGACUCUUCCUCGCCGCGAUGUCAUCCCCUCCGCGGCCAAAGCCAAUGGCAACUCCGCUCGAACCCGCCUUCUCCUCUAUGAGUGGUUCCCUGUCUCCUCCACUCCUGCCAAUGGCAGCGCCCAACCGAAGGAACACCCACUGAGGAAGUUCCGAUACAUACCGGCAAGAACCAAGCCCUAUCGAAGGGGCACAUCCAGGUCUCCUGCUAAUGGUGCAGCAGCAAUCCCCUCUGAUUGAGCAUACACUUCAACCAAGCCAAUCUCCCAAUCACUUGCGUUGGAUCUCUUGCUAGUUUCUCAAUAGGUGUCGUUCGUCACUCAAAUAUUAAUUUACCAUUCUUUGAUAUACUGCUUUGCAAGUUUCCUGAAAAAAAAAAAAGCAACAAAUCUGAAAAACAGAUCCACACAAAAACAAUAUUCAGAUUACAAUUCAUUUGGACUUAUCGAUAGCCUUCGAUCGGUAGAAAAUAGGACGACAAUUAUUGAGCUCAAUAAUUCAAGAUGGCCAUUGCUUGGUGCGAGGCAUCAUGUUUUGUUCAUGUAUGGAAAAAAUGAAUUUGCUAUGUUGGUUAAAA
Molecule: long non-coding RNA, 622 nt
Organism: Zingiber officinale
Lineage: Eukaryota; Viridiplantae; Streptophyta; Magnoliopsida; Zingiberales; Zingiberaceae
Exons: 2
Source: RefSeq, a predicted model, not a curated record